RNAcentral lists this transfer RNA (92 nucleotides) under Patescibacteria group bacterium. Its description in RNAcentral is "tRNA-Ser". It matches the Rfam family "tRNA". From Rfam's summary of the family: Transfer RNA (tRNA) molecules are approximately 80 nucleotides in length. Their secondary structure includes four short double-helical elements and three loops (D, anti-codon, and T loops). Further hydrogen bonds mediate the characteristic L-shaped molecular structure. tRNAs have two regions of fundamental functional importance: the anti-codon, which is responsible for specific mRNA codon recognition, and the 3' end, to which the tRNAs corresponding amino acid is attached (by aminoacyl-tRNA synthetases). tRNAs cope with the degeneracy of the genetic code in two manners: having more than one tRNA (with a specific anti-codon) for a particular amino acid; and 'wobble' base-pairing, i.e. permitting non-standard base-pairing at the 3rd anti-codon position. The record is from RNAcentral.
GGUGAGGUGGCCGAGUGGUUGAAGGCGGCGCUCUCGAAAAGCGUUAUAUCGGGUUUCCGAUAUCGUGGGUUCGAAUCCCUCCCUCACCGCCA